AAUGUGUUUCUCUACCCUUUGAGAGUUUGUUUCCCCUUGUUCCCCUGAUUCUACAUCAAUUGGUAUCAAAGCUUGCUCAACAUCAGUAUUUUUUUACCACGUGGUGUUGGCUGGAGCCAAUAGAUCCAGCCAAUCAGGAGAUUACAAAGCAUUUGAAGUCAUUAAUUAGGAUGACAAGUUCUUGCAAGAUAAUUCCUAGUAGGAUGACAAUUCCAGCAACAAACUAUCAUCCCAAGCAACAAUUUGGGUUGUGAUAUUUGCCUAUUCACCCUGGCCAAGUUAAUUUGAUGCAUGGCAAUUUCUCUGAACAGUACAAAUGGCAACCAACAACUAUCAUAUCUUAUUUCUAGAACGGUAGAACUUGAGUUAGAAUUUUUUUUUUAACGCUAAAAAAAAGAAAUUGUACUUAAUACUAUUAACAAAAGAUGAGGCAUGGUCUUUUGAAUUCAUUAAGGAACGUGUUUAGCCUAAUGACAAGUGACUUUUGCAGUUAUAGUAUCUUCUUUGUCCAACUGGGCCACAUGCAGGCAAUUGCUAGGAUUACAAUGCAAAAGACCAGCUUAAUAUGGGCUGUUGAUUUGCAUGAGCAAUGAAAAUCACCAUGAGGUAACAAUUUUCCACAUGCAAAGUUGUCUUUGCAUAUGACAAUUUUACUUAAAAAUGGUCAUUAUAGGUAACAAUUUUUCUUAAGCCACCUCCAAACCCACAGCUAAAGUCAACAUAUGUGCUUAUGAGAUCCAGAAUAAAUUUGGUUUUUGCAUUAAAUUGAUACACAGUUUAAUUUCCCCAACAUUUUAAUAAAAAGCGAGAACAACUAUCAAGUUCAUAAUUAGACAGAAAUUGAAAAUCAGCUAAAGAUGUUUUUCAUAAAACAGAAGCCAGUAGUUUUAGUAAAAAGCACCCAGUUCUUAAUAAAUUUGAAAGUAAGAAAGGAAAGGGAAAAAACAAAAAGCAACUUUAAAUAUGUUCUACAAAAAUCAAUGGGGAAACUUAAUGAUGACAAAAGAAGCAUUGUUCAAACCUCAACAAGUGCUGCCAAACCAAGCAUU
This 1049-nucleotide unclassified non-coding RNA is filed under the name Hevea brasiliensis (rubber tree). Lineage: Eukaryota; Viridiplantae; Streptophyta; Magnoliopsida; Malpighiales; Euphorbiaceae. The record is from RNAcentral.